UUUUUGAGUAUGGAGAGCAGUCUCUAGGCCUUUCUUUUAAUGGCACUCUUGAGAUUAAUUGCUCGAAGGACGUCAAAAUUCAGAGAAUUAUCGGACCAUGUACAUCUAUGGAGAAGAAGGGGGCUCUUUGUGCUGACACCAUUGUAGGACAAGGAAAUACAGCUUCAUGGAAGAUGUGUGGUCUUGAUAGAAGUACUUGUUUGACUGUGUUCUUUAAUAUUUC
Musa acuminata AAA Group (dessert banana) is the source of this 223-nucleotide long non-coding RNA. RefSeq lists it as uncharacterized. NCBI's taxonomy places the organism in Eukaryota, Viridiplantae, Streptophyta, Magnoliopsida, Zingiberales, Musaceae. The transcript is spliced from 3 exons. The record is from RefSeq and is a predicted model, not a curated record.